AUUGAACGCUGGCGGCGUGCCUAAUACAUGCAAGUCGAACGAGGUGCCUUUGUAGCAAUACGAAGGUAUCCUAGUGGCGAACGGGUGAGUAACGCGUUGGUGACCUACCCCAAAGUGUGGGAUAACAGAUCGAAAGAUCUGCUAAUACCGCAUGUGGUCUUCGGAUUUAGAAACUGAUGACUAAAGGAGCAAUUCGCUUUGGGAGGGACCUGCGUCCCAUCAGCUAGUUGGUGAGGUAAUGGCUCACCAAGGCUACGACGGGUAGGGGACCUGAGAGGGUGGCCCCCCACAAUGGAACUGAAACACGGUCCAUACACCUACGGGUGGCAGCAGUAGGGAAUAUUGCACAAUGGGCGAAAGCCUGAUGCAGCAACGCCGCGUGUGCGAUGAAGGCCUUCGGUCGUAAAGCACUUUUCUGUAGGGAUGAGCAAGGACAGUAUCUCAGGAAUAAGUCUCGGCUAACUACGUGCCAGCAGCCGCGGUAAU
Molecule: ribosomal RNA, 486 nt
Filed under: uncultured bacterium
Lineage: Bacteria
Description: bacterial SSU rRNA
Rfam family: Bacterial small subunit ribosomal RNA
Source: RNAcentral